CCAAAGGAUGCACACUUUCCUCAAAACUGCCAUGAGAGUUAGGCUUCUCUCAGCUGUGGUGCUAUGUUUCCUGGGAACAGGCCUUGUGGACAUGAAUGUAACACAGAUGCCAAGAAACCUCAUCAAAAGAGUGGGAAAGAAUGUUUUGCUGGAAUGUGUACAGGACAUGAAACAUGAACGCAUGUACUGGUAUCGACAAGACCCAGAUCUGGGGCUACGGCUGAUUUACCUCUCAUAUGAUGUUGAUAGUAACAGUGAAGGAGACAUCCAUAAAGGAUACAAGGUCUCUCGGAAGAAAAGGGAGAAUUUCUCCCUGAUUCUGGAGUCUGCUAAAACUAACCACACAUCUGUGUACUUCUGUGCCAGCAGUUUAUCCACAGCUCUACACAACCACAUCCUUUUUGCACAAAAAUAGUCUAUGGGAAGGAUAUGGUUUCACCUCAUGCCUA
Non-coding RNA from Rattus norvegicus (Norway rat), 449 nucleotides. NCBI's taxonomy places the organism in Eukaryota, Metazoa, Chordata, Mammalia, Rodentia, Muridae. The record is from the annotation of a RefSeq genome assembly.